Molecule: ribosomal RNA, 600 nt
Filed under: uncultured bacterium
Lineage: Bacteria
Description: bacterial SSU rRNA
Rfam family: Bacterial small subunit ribosomal RNA
Source: RNAcentral
CCGGAGCUUGCUCCACCGGAAAAAGAGGAGUGGCGAACGGGUGAGUAACACGUGGGUAACCUGCCCAUCAGAAGGGGAUAACACUUGGAAACAGGUGCUAAUACCGUAUAACAAUCGAAACCGCAUGGUUUUGAUUUGAAAGGCGCUUUCGGGUGUCGCUGAUGGAUGGACCCGCGGUGCAUUAGCUAGUUGGUGAGGUAACGGCUCACCAAGGCCACGAUGCAUAGCCGACCUGAGAGGGUGAUCGGCCACAUUGGGACUGAGACACGGCCCAAACUCCUACGGGAGGCAGCAGUAGGGAAUCUUCGGCAAUGGACGAAAGUCUGACCGAGCAACGCCGCGUGAGUGAAGAAGGUUUUCGGAUCGUAAAACUCUGUUGUUAGAGAAGAACAAGGAUGAGAGUAACUGUUCAGUCCCUUGACGGUAUCUAACCAGAAAGCCAGCGGCUAACUACGUGCCAGCGAGCCGCGGUAAUACGUAGUGGCAAGCGUUGUCCGGAUUUAUUGGGCGUAAAGCGAGCGCAGGCGGUUUCUUAAGUCUGAUGUGAAAGCCCCCGGCUCAACCGGGGAGGGUCAUUGGAAACUGGGAGACUUGAGUGCA